UCCGAGGGCACUCCGAGGGCGCUCGGAGUGAAAUAUGGAAAAAAAUUCAAGAUGGCUGCGUUAUUAGAACCAAUUGUUGUGGAAUUUCUUGAUUUAAUUGAUGAAGUAUUUCUAGAAAAUGAAGAAAGAAACGUUGCCAGGGACCCACGUCGGUAUUUGAGGGAUUUUAAAAAUCCACUGGAGUGGUUUAGUGACGUGCUGUUCAGACGACGAUAUCGUUUUACCAAGGAUCUUGUUCGGCAUCACAUUCUGCCUUUGCUAGUGUUUGAAGAACCACGGAGUCGUCGAGGAUUACCGCUACCGCCUGUCCUGCAGCUGCUAAUUGCCUUGCGAUUUUACGCAACAGGCACUUUCCAGAUGGUGGCAGGCGAGUUAACAGGCGUUAGCGAGUCCACAGUUUCCCGAAUUAUCAGACGUAUCUCUGUCGGUUUAGCGCAACAUACUCAACAUCUGAUACGGUUUCCCACUGGCGAUGAAUUUCGAUUGAACAAGCUACGAUUUUAACACUUUCCCGGUGUUACAGGAGUGACUGCACCCACAUAAAAAUCAAAAGCCCCGGCGGUGCUCGGGGGGAAGUAUACAGGUAGGCCAACAAUGAUGUGCCAAUCCCACCAGUUCCUCUUCGACCUGGGCGCGCCAUGGCCAUCAGGAACGAGUUCAUCAUCCGGCAUUUCAAUUAGCUGUAUUUUAUGAUUUUUGCACUCAUUGUUAUGGCUACUUAUGAAUAAUUCAAUGAUAUAUCUUCAUUUGUUGCUAAGCCAUUCCAUUGCAUUUCCUUUAAUCCUUCACAUACCUACAGGCCCUGGCAUUUUGUUUCCAACUUGUAAACAAAUUUCAAUUAAAUUAAGAAAUUUUACAUGAACUUUCUAAUAAUGCAGCCUUUUACAAAUGUCUGAGUAAAGAAGUACAUUUGGUUAUAUUUUUGCUUUUUGAUUCUUUUGUAUUUUAACUUGAUGAAAUAGGUAAUGUUUUGUUAAAAGUAUUAUUGUGCAAACAUAUUUAUGUUGUUUCAAGUUUCAUUUUGUUCACUUACCUAUGAUAUAGGAUUGUAUUGCAGGAUCUUAUUUCAUUUUACUUUUGUUUAGUCAAAAUGGUUUAUAUCUUAAGAAAGAAAAGUAAUAUCAAAUAUAUUUGUUUAAAAACAUGUAGAUAUACAGGUGUGGUGAAAAUAGGUAGUAAACUGUGAAUUCAACUAUUAUGCAAAAACAUUGGGAAUCAGUGGGUAAAAACUGGUUUCAUUAUUGAAAUACUCUCAAUGUGUUGGGUAAGAAUGUUUCCAAAUGGAACAUUGAAAAUUAGUUGAUUGUUUUGCUGUUCCUGUUGCUGCCGCCAGUCGUGGCUCCACUCAAGUGCUUGGUGCUGCCCCUCAGCGGCAACGUGGAGUUCCAGCCCCUCGUGUGCCAGCAGUUAGUGGGCUGGCAGGGAUUCUGUUGUCUCUACAUCCUCGACGGGCAUGACCAGGAACAUUCAAACAUGCAGGAAUUACAUCAUAUUGAAGAUAAUUUAUUAUUUAAUGAUUUUGCAUGUUAUUUAGACAAACACAUUUCAGGGAAAUUGUGGGCAAACUUUGCCUAGGCUUGUAGUAAGCACUCAUGUGGUUUACCAUUGAACUACCCUUGUUUGUUUAAAAAAAAUAACAAUAUUCUUCUACAAUGUUUUUUAUUUUUGACAAGAAGGGUAAAGUUAUGAAAAUACAAAAGUACAGCUACAAAUCUUUUAAAUGCAUUGCCAAAAGCAAAGAUUUUACAUUUUAAAAUUUUCCUUGUUACAGUUGUUUUAAUUGUUUAAUAAUCAUGCAUUAAUACAUAAAAAGAUAAUAUCAAGAAAUAUUGUUAUGGAACCUAUUGAACUAUAACAUUUUAAUGUAUAUACCGUAUUUACUCGUGUAUAGCGCGCCCUCGUGUAUAGCGCGCACCACGAUUUUUGCAACUAAUUCCAAAGAAAAAAAAAAUUGAAAUUUUUUUUUCCCCCAUAAAUAAAUUUUACUAACAUUUUGUGGUACCUGAUUAUUUAAAUUGAUGUGUGGUGAUGCGUCAGGAAAAUACAUAAACUCUGCUGUCUAAACGGAAGAUAAUGAAGCGCUAUAUCGUCACAACUGGUACGUGGAAGGAAGGAAGGGAGGGAGGCGUGCCGCGCUACGUUGCUAAGCUGGCGCGGAGAACUUGACUCACCGGUGAGGAAUGGAGGAAGCGAAGAAGUUGCCGGGGGGGGGGGGGGGGGGGGGAACUGGUGACAAAAUUCUCUCUUUCUCUCUCUCUCUUUUUACUAGCUUCUGAGCUGGCUUUCUGUAAAGGGGGGAGGUCUAAAAAUAAACAAGAGACCAUGAUGUGCGAGCUUGCGCGCGCACGUGUGCGUGUGUGUGUGUGUGUGUGUGUGUGUGAAACAGAGGCCUUGUUGCUUGUGCGUAUGUGUGGGGGCUGGCCAGAAACGUCACCCGUCACCCGGCAGUUAACGACUUCCACUCCUCCCCGCCUCCCCCCACCAAAAAUUUUUUUUCCCGUGUAUAGCGCGCAUCCUUAUUUUUUUUCCUUUACUUGAGGGGAAAAAAGGGCGCGCUAUACACGAGUAUAUACGGUAUAUAAUUGAUUGUGUAGUGUAUGUUAUUUCUUGUGGCAACAAUUUUUAAGUUGUUAAUUUUAUUCACGAUCUUAGUAUUUCAAUACUAUUAACACAAAUCACAACAUAGUACACAGUGUUAAAAGCCCUUCAUAAUUCUUGUACAUUUCUGUCUGAUGUUUCUCUGGAGACCUUUAGCCAUAUCUGUUUAAGAUCUGAUAUUGACUGCUACUAUGUAUGUAUUUCAUGUAUUUAUAAUAUGGUUACAAAAUACAAAAUACUUUAUGGUCACCUUUGCAUGUUAUUAUUUAUUUAAAUUGUUACUUUUAUUUAAAUGCUCUGCCACACACAUUAAUUUAUAUUGCAUGCCGUAUGUAAUUUCCAUCAGCUAAAACAUUUCAUGUACACAUACAUGUACAUUACAUACAUAUUUCACAUACCGCUACUUUAUGUUUAUUACUUUCAGUAUGCAUCUGAAAAUGUUCAAUUUCUGUGAGUUGAUGUUUUUGGAUUUUGAAUUACGGGAUGUGGUAUUAAUGUGUGUUUCGUACCCCUUUGAGUAAACCUGACAUGUUAUUGUAACUCAUUCUGGCUCAUACGUUUUGUGAUUCAGCACACCCUGUUUUAUUUUUUUUAAUAUGUGUGUGUGUGUGUGUGAUGCAUUAUUUGUACACAAUUGUUACAAAAAUACAAUUAAUUGUAAUUAUUUUCUUCACAAUACUGGAAUUAUAAUAACUACUUUCAAUAGUCGUAAGCAAUCUUUAAUUUGUACAUUAAGUAAAACAAAUGAUCUAUUAUUCAGAAUCACUAAAAAUUACAAUAAAUAUGCAAGUUUCUUUCCUGUAUUAGAUAGCACAAUAAAAUUUAAAAAAAAAUACAACUAUACAUAACUUGAUUUUUUUUUUUGUGGUUAAUUAUUAUAUUGUUUCAAGUUAGUUUUCUUCUUUCCUGAAUUAUAUUUGUAAAGAAAUUAUUUACUAAUUGCUAAAUGUUGCAUGUUGUGUGUAUUGUUUUUGUUUUGUUGUCUUGUAUUUUGUACUGUUUUGUUUUGUCUGUAUGUAUCUGUGUUUGUAUCGUGCCUACCACCCAAGGCCAUAAGCUGUAGGUAGGCACGCAACAAAUAUUAAAUAAAUAAAAUAAAUAAUA
Molecule: long non-coding RNA, 3702 nt
Organism: Bacillus rossius redtenbacheri
Lineage: Eukaryota; Metazoa; Arthropoda; Insecta; Phasmatodea; Bacillidae
Exons: 3
Source: RefSeq, a predicted model, not a curated record